Ribosomal RNA from Peromyscus maniculatus bairdii (prairie deer mouse), 110 nucleotides. The record is from Ensembl. NCBI's taxonomy places the organism in Eukaryota, Metazoa, Chordata, Mammalia, Rodentia, Cricetidae.
GUCUAUGGCCAUACUACACCCAAUCUUGCCUGAUCUUGAAAGCUAAACAGGGUCAGGCUUGGUUAGUACUUGGAUAAGAGACUGCCUGGGAAUACAGAGUACUGUGGGCU